CACGUAGGCGGACAUUUAAGUCAGGGGUGAAAUCCCGGGGCUCAACCCCGGAACUGCCUUUGAUACUGGGUGUCUGGAGGUCGAGAGAGGUGAGUGGAAUUCCGAGUGUAGAGGUGAAAUUCGUAGAUAUUCGGAGGAACACCAGUGGCGAAGGCGGCUCACUGGCUCGAUACUGACGCUGAGGUGCGAAAGCGUGGGGAGCAAACA
Molecule: ribosomal RNA, 207 nt
Filed under: uncultured bacterium
Lineage: Bacteria
Description: partial 16S ribosomal RNA
Rfam family: Bacterial small subunit ribosomal RNA
Source: RNAcentral